CUCUGCGGCAGCUCUGUGUCAUCACCGGAUAUAGGAGUGGAGGAACUGGGCAGCCGAUGCUGAAACAGGCGGUUGUUGAUCUCUUAAAAGUGGAGAAAUUUGAGAGGGAGAGAAAACGAAGGUGGUAUGAGAAUGAAACAAAUAUGUGGUCUGUGAGUUCAAUUUACCAAUACAUAGUAAUGAAGAGUUUAGACUUCUUCCCAACCUUAAUGACAACAUUGAUAUCCUUGUUGACCUCCUGAUGAAUGUGGUUAGUAAAAAGAUGUUCCACAUACGCCCGAACCCUUUGUUGGACACACACUCACUUAUGUGGUUGUCUGAUACGUUGCCUCUAAAGUGUGGGUGGCGUUAAUAUGGUCUUGGAGAUUCUAUUUAUCUUUUUAAAUUCAAUGAUGAUCAAUGUCUUAAAAACAUAAUUGACAAUGACCCUUGUGUAUUCAACAAUGUACUUAUUAUCAUUCAAAAAUAUAUUAUCACAAAAACGUUGACUAGACCACCUGAAGCCAAAUGCCAAAAGUCAACCUCAUAUUGAAGUAAAUAUUCUGACUAUUUUGUUUUUUUAUUCUUUUUAUAAUUUUUAUUAAUACAUAAACAUAUUUACUUAUAGGUAGCACUCAGGCUGAGGAAACUAGCGUACACCAGUUGUUGUUCUGCUGGAGAUAUAGUUCCUUACAUAAUUUGCUGUGAGAAGGUUUGUGAUUAAGCUUUUAUUUUUAUUUUUUACCUUUUCAUAUUUAUUUAUCUCAAAUUUGCAUUUUUUUUAAUAAAUUUUAUAAGGGAAUGGUUUGAGUACAUCAGUAGGGAUUGCUCAACGUGCAAGACAUCCUGAUGAACUCACAAAGGAUAAUGAGAAUUUGAUGAUUGACAUUGACUAUUAUCUAGCACAACAGGCUGCAAGAGAUGUUGGAGCUCUUAGAGAAGCUAAGGACAAACCGAAGAAGUGAGGCGAAGAGCUGACAAGGAGAUUAGACUUUGAAAAACAUUUGAGGGUAUAUUUUUUUGUAUUUCUUGUAUCCAAUUAGUUUGUAAAUUUCUGUUACAACUUCUAUUGAUUUGUUUUAUUUUUCCAUGUAACGAUUAUUUGUAUGACAUUAAAUUUUAUGCAAUGGAUUCUAUUAUUUGUAUAUGGUAUUUUAUUUCUAUUAUGAGACAUUAAAUACAAAU
Non-coding RNA from Lactuca sativa (garden lettuce), 1164 nucleotides. NCBI's taxonomy places the organism in Eukaryota, Viridiplantae, Streptophyta, Magnoliopsida, Asterales, Asteraceae. The record is from RefSeq and is a predicted model, not a curated record.